This 252-nucleotide ribosomal RNA is filed under the name uncultured bacterium. RNAcentral's name for it is "partial 16S ribosomal RNA". It matches the Rfam family "Bacterial small subunit ribosomal RNA", at positions 524 to 776 of the family's 1533-position model. The record is from RNAcentral.
UACGGAGGAUGCGAGCGUUAUCCGGAUUUAUUGGGUUUAAAGGGUGCGCAGGCGGCACGGCAAGCCGGCGGUCAAAUCGCGGGGCCCAACCCCGCCCAGCCGUCGGAACUGCCGGGCUAGAGUGGGCGAGAAGUGCGCGGAAUGCGUGGUGUAGCGGUGAAAUGCAUAGAUAUCACGCAGAACUCCGAUUGCGAAGGCAGCCCACCGGCGCCCUACUGACGCUCAGGCACGAAAGCGUGGGUAUCGAACAGG